GGGUGUGCGCCGAAGCGAGAGAGUCGGGUCGGUUUGUAAAACCGAAGCCUUCGGGCUGAGCAGGUGCAAAUCCUGCCACACUCACCA
RNAcentral lists this transfer RNA (87 nucleotides) under bacterium. RNAcentral's name for it is "tRNA-Tyr". It matches the Rfam family "tRNA". From Rfam's summary of the family: Transfer RNA (tRNA) molecules are approximately 80 nucleotides in length. Their secondary structure includes four short double-helical elements and three loops (D, anti-codon, and T loops). The record is from RNAcentral. RNAcentral also lists the same sequence under 1 other name.